This 259-nucleotide long non-coding RNA is filed under the name Elaeis guineensis (African oil palm). RNAcentral describes it as "long non-coding RNA (EGUI_LNC014069)". Lineage: Eukaryota; Viridiplantae; Streptophyta; Magnoliopsida; Arecales; Arecaceae. The record is from RNAcentral.
AAAUCUCAUAUAGAAGCAAAACUCAAAUGGCUUUGUUGAAGCAAAAAUGGAUAUUCAUCAUUUGCAUCACAAGUCACUCAAACUCUACAUAUGAGUCGGUUGAAUUUCUACUAUAUGAGUCACUUAACAUCCAUUUUGUAGUUCACUCAACAUCGAUAUAAGAGCAGGUUGAACUCCCAUUCCAUAGAUCUUUUGAUUUCCAUUUAAAAGGACUCAUAAUCAAUGAGUAAAACCUGAGCCACAUCCAUUAAUAAUCCUU